UCUGCGACAAACCAGCCAGUGACCCAGAGUGAAAGUCAACUUUACUCCUCUCUCCUGCACGGUGAUGUUUCUCUUUAUGAAUCCCUCAGACGCCCUGGAAACCCUGCAAACGGUGAACCAGCUCAGGAUUACAUCAAUGUCACAUCCCACCAGCUUGAUGAUCUUCAUGAAUGAUGACGGAGGAAGGAAAAGCCAUAAAUCAGUGUCAGUGAUGCCAGUGGAGCCUCAUCUUCAGGACUGGAAACCACAGCAGAGUCCGAGAAUCAACAGGUUCUGAUUAAAACAUGAAAAGCGACUGAAACCAGAUCAAGCCUGGUGGUUGAAACAAGGAGCUGCUCCUCAUGCACAGAAUACACACUGUGUGUAGGACGGUGUGUGGAGGAAGAGGCUUCAUUCCACAUGUUGUCUUCAGUGAAAAUGUCUGGUUGAUUGAUUGAUUCCGUCAUUUUUUCACAGUUUCACAUCAAUUGUCACGU
Molecule: long non-coding RNA, 476 nt
Organism: Salarias fasciatus (jewelled blenny)
Lineage: Eukaryota; Metazoa; Chordata; Actinopteri; Blenniiformes; Blenniidae
Exons: 4
Source: RefSeq, a predicted model, not a curated record